AUGAAGAGAACUGUUCAUACUUUAUUCAUUUUCUUCUGGCUGCAGAUGAACUGGGAGAGCCUAGGUGAGCAGGUGGAACAGCAUCCUUCCACCCUGAGUGUCCAGGAGGGAUCCAGCGCUGUCAUCAACUGCACUUACACAGGCAGUGCCUCAGCCUGCUUCCCUUGGUAUAAGCAAGAGCCUGGGAAGCAUCCUCAGUUCAUCAUUGACAUCCGGUCAAAUUCAGAAAGAAAGCAGGAGCAAAGACUCACCCUUCUGUUGGAUAAGAAAGCCAAACACCUUUCUCUGCACAUCACAGCCACUCAGCCUGCAGAUUCAGCCAUCUAG
Molecule: non-coding RNA, 327 nt
Organism: Peromyscus leucopus (white-footed mouse)
Lineage: Eukaryota; Metazoa; Chordata; Mammalia; Rodentia; Cricetidae
Source: the annotation of a RefSeq genome assembly